This is a long non-coding RNA of Felis catus (domestic cat), 7645 nucleotides long. RefSeq lists it as uncharacterized. The transcript has 3 exons. The record is from RefSeq and is a predicted model, not a curated record. NCBI's taxonomy places the organism in Eukaryota, Metazoa, Chordata, Mammalia, Carnivora, Felidae.
AAAUAAAUAAAACAUUAAAAAAAUUUUUUAAAGUAAACACAGGAGUAAAUCAUCAUGACUUUGGAUUUGGCAACAGAUUCUUAGGUAUGAUACCAAAGAUACAAGGUAAAAAAGAAAAAAAUAGAUUAAUUGGGCUUCAUAACAAUAAAAAUCUUGUGGGCAUCAAAGGACAUUAUUAAGACAGUGAAAAGACAACUGGCAGAAUGGGAGGAAGUAUUCGCAAAUCAUGUAUCUGAUAAGGGUGUAGAAUCCAAAAUAUGUAAGAGAACUCCCACAACUCGACAACAAAAAGACAACCUAAUUUUAAAAUGGGUAGACUGGAAUACACACUUCUCCAGAGAUACGUAAACGGCUGAUGAAAAGCUGCUCCACAUCAUUAGCCACCAGGGCAAUGCAGAUCACAACCACAGGACACCACAGCCACUAGGAUGGCUGUUGUCAUCAAAAAGAUCUCCAAGAUGUGGAGAAAUCAGAAUCCUUGUGCAUGGCUCAUGGGAAUGUACAACAGUGCAGCUGCUGUGGAGGAUGGUUUGGGGGGGUUCCUCAAUAAGCUAAACAGAAUUAAUCAUACGAUCCAGUAAUUCUACUCCGAGGUAUACACCCCAAAGAUCUGGAGACAGAUACUCAAACAGAUACUUGUUCAAACUCCGUUCAUGACCACAUUAUUCACAACAGACAAAAGGUAGAAACAAUCCAAGUGUCCAUCACAGAUGAAUGGGUAAACAAAUGUGGCAUAUAUCUGUACCAUGAAAUAUUAUUCAUCCAUCAAAAGCAGUGAAGUUCUGACACCUGCUACAGUGUGGACGGACCUUGAAAACAUGAUGCUGGGUAAGCCAGACACAACAGGACAUGUACGUAUGAUUCCACUUAAAUGGAAUCGAGAGUGAAAAAGUUCAUAGAGACAAUAAGUGCUGUAGAAGUUACCAGGGAGAAUGGGGAGGGAUUGCUUCAUGGGUACAGAGUUUUUGUUUGGGUGAUUCGGAAACAGAUGGUGGUGAUAGUUGUACAAUACUGUGAAUGCAAUCAAUGCUGCUGAGUUGUACACUUAAAAAUGAUUAAAAGGGCAAAUUUUAUUAUAUUACCACAACUGAAAAAAAAAAAAAAAGAACAAAUUAGGUCAAGGUUUAGAGUUGUGGGAAAGGCAGCCCUGACUAUGUUCAGUCUUUAUAGAGAACCUGGGGCAACCCAGUGCUUAAUUCUACAAUAGCUGCCCACACCUCUGCCAGCCCCCAUCUUAAGCUCUCUGAGCGCCUGGAUCCUUUUCGCCACUCACAUCCGAACCCCAGGAUCCACUGUCUGAUGACAAGGAGAUGUCUGGACCCCUCUUCUGCCUCCCACCUGCCCAGCUGCUGCCCGCCUCCUUUUGUUCGAUGUCCAGCUCCAACUCCACAGUCCUGGUCUCUGUUGCUCUCCCCGGGCCAAGGACAGCACUGGACACAUUGCAGGGCCUGCACACCAGCCUGGCUGAUUCCUGACUUAAAACCCUGUGGCUUCUGGUCCUUUGGUCCCCUCUACCUGGGCCCGGCUGGCUCUGGACACACACUGCUCUGUGGCUGAGUCUCUGGCCUCAGCUGAGCUCCUGGCACUGCUCUCCAAGCAGGACCGGCAGCCUGUCCCAUCCCUCCGGGUGGCCAUUACCACACAGCCCACCCUCCUCAGACUCUGGCACUGCACCCCCUUCUCUCCUCAGAGACAGCCUGGCCUCAGACUCGACAAGGCCCAGGCAGAACUUCUGCAUAAGGAGCCCUCCUCCUGCUCAGCCAUGCCUCCUGUCUUUGCAGGACUUGCUCGUCCUCAGGCAGUGCCCCUGCUCACCUGUGUCCUCACCUUCUCCCUUCCAGUCUUGGCUGCCCCAUCCCUUCCUGUCUAUACCCCUCCCUAUAUCUCUUUCUCAGGACUGCCUACACCUAGCCUUCCCCUCUUUGCCAGGCUCCUGUGGGGUCUUCACCCCCCCAAACCCCCGCUUUGCUCCUUGGUCUGCCAGAGUCCGACUGAGGCUCCAACCCUCCCCUCUGGGAGUAGGAAGCACUUCAGUAUUGAAGUGGCAGAAAUGAGUCUGUCCUAACCUCACUUGACCAGACUGCGCACUAUUGACCAUCCCUGCCCUCAGGGAACUCUCCCUGCACCUUCCAGAACAUCGAUCCUUCUUGAUCUUGCCUCGGCCUCAGGUGGCUCCGGGCCCUUUGGACCUCCUGCCCUGUCCUCCCCAAGAUGACAGCCACCCUGUGGCUUCAGCUCUUAGCUAAAUCUGAUGGUUCCUGAAUCAGUGUUUCUGGCCCAGACCUCUCCAGGCUGGAUACAGCUCCAGGCUUGGACACCCAGCCACCUCCACUGGCUGUCCCAGAUACUGGAGCCCACUGCCCCUAAACGAUCUCAUCAUCCCCUGAGACUGCUUCUUGUAGUGAGGAGCUGGCUGUCCCAUUCUCCCUCCGUCAUCCAGUCUGCAGCCUGUGAGCCCCCUGCCUUCUCCCUUCCUCACACACAUCCACUGCCUUGCACACACUGGGAUAGAGUCCUCCCUCUGUCCCCAGCUCAGUGUUGACCUUUCUGCUCCUCUCUGUUCUCAGUGUUCCCACUUAAUCCAGGUCAUGCCUGCUCCUGCUGGGACAGCUGAUGGCUCCCCACUGAUGGCCCUGCCUCUAACCUGACUCUGGAUCCAUGCCCCUAUCCAUCCACUCAUUGGUUAGCAAACAAGGUUCCUGAGUACCUGCUAUGUGCCAGCCACAGGGCGGUCUUUUUAGGCUGUAGAUGAUCUCCCUGCUUACUGGCCUAUGAUGGCUUACUUCUGACAUCAGCAAUGGGUCCAGCUCCUUGGCCCUUCCAAUCAGGCAGCACCUGGCUCCCAGGACUCUAGUUGUCUCUAGUGCUUCUGCUUUUGUAGCUGCCCCUCCCCAACCCCACCCCAGAAGAGCCUAGACCCAGACGUGUGAGAGCUUGGCAGCCCGUGUGCUCCAGGGGUGAGCAAGGCUGUGGUUGCAGUGGGUGCUGGCCAGCUGCACCCAUGGCCCUCCCUCAUCCUCUUGCCACCUUUCUUCAUGGGGCCGGGCAUGGCCUGGCUCAGCAGCAGCAAUGCCCAAAUGGGCAAUGGCAGGCGGUCAGCAGAGGGCCGGCCAGAGGGGCCUGCCAGUGGGGUGCCUGCAGGGUGUGUGGCCUGGGGUGGGAGCAUCAGGACCGUGGGUGGCAUUGGGGGGGAUAGAAUGGUCUUCCAUCCUGAGCAGGGGCCUGGUGACUUGGCCUUCUUCUCUCCAUCCAUGUGAUGUGAGAAGGCACUCUGGGCCAUCUAUCCAAGGGACUCUGGAUGCAUUUAGGAGGGGCCCGAGCAGAGACUUCAUUACUCUGACUCGGGAAACUCCGAGCCACCUUAUGCAGACAGGCCUGCUCUCUUACCUGUGAGGCAUACGUGUCCAGUUUCUCAAACUCCUGCAGGUCCAGGGGCAUGGAUUUCAGGCUGGACCGAUCCCAGGGGUAAACUGGAAACAUAGGGAGGCUCAGUCAGCCACUGAGGCCUGCUGGUGAGUGCUGCCCGGCCCCAGGCCUCUCUGUCGUUUUGAAGUGCUGUGAUUGCCCGACCUUCAGCAUGAUUCCCAGAACCUGGAAAACUGCUCCCAAGACCUAUAUCUCCUAGAGGGGUUCCUUGGUCAAAUUGGUUGGUGAACUAUGGCAACUUCUCUAGUUCGUCUGGAGAGUGACGGGGAACAUAAGCCUAUUUGCAGACCCUGGGAAGUCAGCAGUAAAGAGACUGGUUUCACCUCAAUUAACUCAGCAGUGCCCAGGCAGAUUAAUGAUGGAGUCCCCUUCUCCCCACCGUUUAGUUUUCUGCAGAUUUCCUGCUAACUUUUCCAGGAAUGAGUGCUCUGUGGGAAGUGUCCAGGCAAUGCGGCCAGCCCCUGACAGGCUCAAGAAAGGAGGGUCUGUACUCUAGUUAUGACGCCCAGGGUGGAGGGUGCUCUGGGUAUGGGAGGAGGGUGUGCUGGAGCCAGGCUCUGUAGGCUUCUGUAGGGUGAGGCGUGUUUGGCACCCAGACAGGCUUCCUCCCUUGCCCACAGUCAGCCAUAGACUGGAGCACCCCAAGAAAGCCAAGUGUGUUGUAGCAACAGGUGCCCCAGGUAUUGCGGGGGGGGGGGCUCUGAGGGAGGCCGGGCCCCAGAAUCACUCCUUUGUGCCAGCCUUUCUUAUAGGAAGCCGGGCACACCAGUCGUCAGACCAGCCACGGAUGGGCAGCAAAUCCCUGUCUCAGACCAAAAGAGAGCCUGGGCUCCGGCAAGGUCCUCCCAUUAUUCAAGGCUGACCAAGUCAGGCAAGCUGGGUGGGAGGCCGGGGUUAGGUGAGGAGGGUGGGGCCAAAGGGCCACUGAUCCCCUAACUCAGUGAUAACCCCACUCCCCUGUGGGGGUGCUGGUGGGGCCCCAGGGCAUGGCAGCCAGCCUGGGAAGAGCAGAGUGACAUGGGGAAGCAGCUGGUGGGGGCUGCAUGAAGCCUAGGUUCUAGUGGGGGCCUGACCUUCACGACCUCCACUGUGCUAGGGGUUGCUGGACUCAGCCGCCAGGCAUGAGGUGCACAUCUAUGGGGCAGCUGGGAGAGUGAACGAGACGGUGGAUCACGCUGUAAGAUGAAGAAUUUGACUCCACAAGAGAGGUUAAGCUACUUGCCCAAGGUCGUAAUGUGUAACGCUGUGCGAAGUCCUGCAGAGAAGAAGUCAGUUUGACCCAGUACUAUUUUGUGAAACACAAUUUGGAAAACGCUGGACUGCAACAACCUCCAGAAGCUUAAAGAAGGUGCAGAACUGAACAACGUGGUUUAGUCAACAGCAAACCUCUUCCCCCAACUUCUCACAUCUAACAUACAGGUGCUUCCAACCACCCCCAAUUCAGCCCUGGCUCUUUGUCCAAGAAUGGGUGAGCUGAGAAACUAGGUACUGGUAAAGCGGUGGUAAAGGUGGACAUUGAGGUAUUCUCACACCCGGAUGUGGUCCUGUUCUGCAACCUCCACCUAGCACCAUUUCCAAUCCCUUCUCUCUUUCCUGAACUUCCUCUUUCCUCCCCCUUCUUGGACAGGGGCCCAAUUUCCAAUAUCCUCCUGAGCCCCACUUCCUGACUCUCCUCCAAAGAGGCGCUGCUAAUCAGCCCCCUGCUGAGGAAAACAGCACAGCUCCUUAGCCUUCCUGAUCUGUGGGAGUGUGAUACCCACUCUUGUCACACACAGGCGUGUGAGGGCAUUUUCGGAGGCCUCUCUGCCCCAGAAACUGGGCCUGGGUGUGCUGUCGCAGGUGAGCAGCAGUCACUGGAGAGCCCUGUGCUCCCUAAAGGGGUGAAAUGGUAAGAUUUUGCAGACUACUAUAUUCCUGUAUCACAUCAACUCUUAAUCUAAGAAGAAAAUUAAUUUGACCAAUUUCCAAUGAAUGAGAGUGGAACAUCAUUUGGAGCAAAAUUUAAAGUAAGAUCUAAAACCUAAGUAUAGUCAGAUACCAUUACACCAAUCUUAAUAGUCACGACCAAACCCACAGGAGGUCCUUCCCGGGACUUCAGGUCACCUGGCUGGCUCUCUCAUGGCGUCCCUCCCUGGUUCUACCAGUUGUCACCGAAAUACCACUUCUGAGGCUGCAGCCCUAGCUGUCUUAGUAGCAGCAUAUCAGCAGUUGCUUGAGAAGUGCCUCCCAGGCCCCUGCCCCAGGUGCCACCAGCUCCGUGUCCUUUCCUCUUAAGCCCUCAGAUCCGGAGAUGCAGCAGGAAGCCCCAGAACGUCCCUGCCCGUGGCCCUACUGCCUUGGGUCUGCCUUUUACCUGGUCGGGAGAGUUCUCCCUCCAGCGGCUUCUCCCCAGGUCUCUGCAGGUCUGAAUCAGGAUUUGUCUAAAGCCCUAAUUUGCUCAGAAUAUCUAAUGCAGAGAUGGCAAACAGAUUUCGUGUUGUUCAUUAACUCUGACUGGCUGCAAGUAGCUGCCUGGAGUGUUGAUCAAUUAGCAAAGACUGUCAGGCAUGUGUGUGUGUUAUGAAUGUGAGUGUGUGUGAGCAUGCACACGUGGGGGGGUGUCUGUGUGCCUAGGGCUGCAGGAUUCAGGUCAGAUACUUGCUAUCCUUGCCUUAAGGUGCUCACUAACGUUUUCUGUACCUGGAACCUGGGUUAAUAACCGUACCCAGGUUAGUAGCCGGGUUCCUUGCCUUGGAAUGCUCCUCUGCAGUAGUUGAGAGUCAGGAAGCCUCAGCUAAAGCAUCUGUAAUUUAAAAACGCCCUUAAAGAGCCCCAGGGUAGGUGUUCAGCAGGGCUGUGCGUGGUUUCAGCCCAGGGACUGGUAGUCCGCUUCAGUGCAGGAAGCCUAGUGCUCUGACAGCCCAAGAGCAGCAUGCUGGAUGAUGACAGGGACAGUCUAACUCUGCAGAACCCUUGUCAGUCUCCACUGGACGCAGCGUGAAAGGCCCACUCAGCAGCCCGAGUCACCAGGUGACAACCUGACAACCGAGCGGGCUGAGACGGCUGGGACACCAGCCAGGGGAUGAUGAAGGGUGUCUCUCGCAGCCCUGACCGACCCCGGCUUUCACCGGGCUCUUGAAAACAGAGGGCCAUUCAUGAUCCCUUCUGCAGCACGGAGCUCCACAGGAGCAUCCCAUAUCUGGAAACAUGGCCGUCUGACCCCAGUGCCUGCGUGACCAAAGAAGGAAUGGAGUGUCUGCUUGGGGACAAAUGACCAGCAAGAAAGGAAGCCUCAAAAGAAAACUGGCUCCUCAGGAAUCACUUUUGGGGCCCCAAGUCACAGGGGCUCCAGCAACCACCCUCCUGUCUCCUCCCUCGCACACCCAUUACAGAUUAAUCUUCUGAAGCACCCUUCCGCAUGGAGAUCCGAGACUCCGCUGAUCUGUUUGUCAGCUGUUGCAUAAAAUCUAUCAUACCUGGUGCUCCCUCUCCUGGAUGCUCUUUCCCAGAUGCCCACAUGGCUUGCUCCCUCACCUCCUCCCUUAUUCAAAUGUCACCUUCUCAACUACUCUGUUUUAAAUUGUACCCAUGUGGUAGGCUGCAUAGCGGCCCUUAAAGAUAUCCAUGCCUUAAUUCUAGGAACCUGUGAAUGCUCCCUUAUAUAGGAAAGGGGACUUUGCAGAUGUGAUUAAGUUAAGGAUCUUGAGAUAGGAAGAUCAUCCUGGAUUAUCUGGUGGGCCCUAAGUAAUCACAAGGAUUCUCAUAAAACAGUGUCAAGAGAUUAAACUACUAAUGUGGAGAAAAGGCCAUGUGACAAUGGGCACAGAGAAUGGAGUGGUGCAGGUGUACAAGAAGUGCCAGCAGCCUCUACAAACUGGAAGAGUCAAGGAACAGAUGGUCCCCUAGAGCAGGUGGGUGGCAUGUGAGUGGCCCAUGAGAGCCAGGAUGUGGUGUGCCAAGUGGGGCUCUGGUGUCUGGUGGGCCCCAUACCACUCCUAUCUGUCUGGGACACCAUGGGGACAGUGCAGUGUGGAGGUCUGGCAGGUGUGCCUGACUCGGGGACCAUAGUACCCCGUCUCAGUUUUCUUGUACACAAAUGGGGAUAACACCAUGGCCCUAUCAGGGGGCAUAGCCAGAACUAAGCAAGAUUGGCGGUGGCUAAUCCACUUUCCUUUUAGUGAGGCAUUGCUUAUUUUUGUUUUGUGGUGAGCUGUGUGCUGCUAGUUCGCUUCAGGGAAGC